UGUUCAGUAUCAGUAUGUCAUUUGUACUUGCACUUUACACGUGGUUUCCCCAUAUGUUCAGGUUGGACUCUUCUGUUCCCUUUUACCUUGCAUGGAUUUUUGGAUUUGUACCUUGCCUGCUCCUUGUUUGAUUUGUUUGCCUGUCUUGGACUGCCUUCCCGAUUUGGACCUCUGCCUACCUGACUUUCCGUGGCUGUCAGAGCAUACAGUGCAAGAGGAGUUCAUGAUUUUGUGCAUAAUGGAGCUACAUGGGAGAUAGGAGGUCACAGGCAGACCAAACAGAGCAUUGCUACACUUUCAGGUCAUGUCCCCCUGGAAGGCUGCCUGCCAGCAAGACACUGAGAGUAAAUGGUGAAAGCCUUUAUGUCUGCUGAAGAAAUGGGAAGAUUUGACCACAUCCAUUGAAUACAAAUGAAGGACUUGAGGAGGAAAAAAUAUUUUAAAUAGAUAUUUAGCUCUUGCUCUUCAUCUGAGAUCUUAAACUGAUCCUGCCUUAUGACUGCCAGGUCUGACAGUUAUACAGAGGCCAAGCCUUGAACUUGAAUCAGCCAUCAUCAUUACUGGGCUGUUUGCAAACUCGGCAGUCCCUAAUGGUUCUAAAUUAGCUCUUUACUGCAGCCAUUCGAUGGACUUGGCAUAAGUAGUGUGGUCAGUGGUACAGAUUGAUCGCUCCUCUUUAAUUAAAGGGCUGACUCACUGCAAACUCUGCUCAACUUGCUACUUUUUUCUUAGGGAUAAUAAUGUAAUCCCUUUCAACACUUUCACAAAUUUGCAUUCUCCUGUGCAUGGAUAGUCAAGAACGCUGUCAGGACAGACACUGACAUUUGCACGUGUUUCAGUGAUUAGAGGUUUUAUGUAAAUCAAAGAUAACUAAUAACAAAUCAGUCACAAAGGAGUUUGUGCUUUUUUUUUUUGCUGUCUGUAUUAAUCAAAGAUGUAAGGUGUGUGUGGUUUCAAUAAAAUUUUACUUUAAAAUAGCCAGAUACAAAAGAUACAGCCAGUCCAUUACUUUUAUCAUUAGAAAGAGUUUGUUAGGGUUACUUUGACCCAUGGCUUCAUUAGAUCAUACUGUAAAUGUCAUGGUGGGUUAUAAGCUCCAAUUUUUUUUUUUUUUUUUUGAGGGAGAAAGUAACAUUACAUUAACCUAUCCCAAACCUAUCCCAGGCCCUUAGAUGGAUACUUCCACUAUUUUGUUUUAAGGCUGCUAAAAUUUUAUGGAGGUCCAUCACCUCACCCAGUGUGAGAUAAGACUGGAUUUAUUUAUGUAUAUCUCCAAAUCUACCAAUGCUAGACUUAUC
Long non-coding RNA from Siniperca chuatsi (mandarin fish), 1298 nucleotides. RefSeq lists it as uncharacterized. The transcript has 3 exons. Lineage: Eukaryota; Metazoa; Chordata; Actinopteri; Centrarchiformes; Sinipercidae. The record is from RefSeq and is a predicted model, not a curated record.